RNAcentral lists this ribosomal RNA (460 nucleotides) under uncultured bacterium. Its description in RNAcentral is "partial 16S ribosomal RNA". It matches the Rfam family "Bacterial small subunit ribosomal RNA", at positions 338 to 795 of the family's 1533-position model. The record is from RNAcentral.
CCUACGGGAGGCAGCAGUGAGGAAUAUUGGUCAAUGGACGGAAGUCUGAACCAGCCAAGUAGCGUGCAGGAUGACGGCCCUAUGGGUUGUAAACUGCUUUUGUAUGGGGGUAAAACCCUCCACGUGUGGCGGUUUGUAGGUACCGUACGAAUAAGGAUCGGCUAACUCCGUGCCAGCAGCCGCGGUAAUACGGAGGAUCCGAGCGUUAUCCGGAUUUAUUGGGUUUAAAGGGAGCGUAGGCGGAUUGUUAAGUCAGUGGUGAAAUUUUGCGGCUCAACCCGGAAACUGCAGGUGAAACUGUUCGCCUUGAGUACAGUAGAGGUAGGCGGAAUGUGUGGUGUAGCGGUGAAAUGCUUAGAGAUCAUGAAGAACCCCGAUUGCGAAGGCAGCUUACCGAACUGCAACUGACACUGAGGCUCGAAAGUGUGGGUAGCAAACAGGAUUAGAUACCCUGGUAGUC